This 441-nucleotide ribosomal RNA is filed under the name uncultured bacterium. RNAcentral's name for it is "partial 16S ribosomal RNA". It matches the Rfam family "Bacterial small subunit ribosomal RNA", at positions 338 to 795 of the family's 1533-position model. The record is from RNAcentral.
CCUACGGGAGGCAGCAGUGGGGGAUAUUGCACAAUGGGGGGAACCCUGAUGCAGCGACGCCGCGUGGGUGAAGGAGUGCUUCGGCAUGUAAAGCCCUAUCGGCAGGGAAGAAGGAAGACGGUACCUGACUAAGAAGCCUCGGCUAACUACGGGCCAGCAGCAGCGGUAAUACGGAGGGGGGGAGCGUUAUCCGGAUUCACUGGGCGGAAGGGGAGCGUAGACGGCCAGGCAAGCCAGGGGUGAAAGCCCCGGGCCCAACCCCGGGACUGCCCUUGGAACUGCAUGGCUGGAGUGCGGGAGGGGCAGGCGGAAUUCCUGGUGUAGCGGUGAAAUGCGUAGAUAUGAGGAGGAACACCGGCGGCGAAGGCGGCCUGCUGGACCGCGACUGACGUUGAGGCUCGAAAGCGUGGGGAGCGAACAGGAUUAGAUACCCCAGUAGUC